CACCAAAGGAUGCAGUACUAGAA
This 23-nucleotide unclassified non-coding RNA is filed under the name Mus musculus (house mouse). Its description in RNAcentral is "oocyte_clustered_small_RNA6083". Lineage: Eukaryota; Metazoa; Chordata; Mammalia; Rodentia; Muridae. The record is from RNAcentral.